This 30-nucleotide non-coding RNA is filed under the name Mus musculus (house mouse). The record is from RNAcentral. Lineage: Eukaryota; Metazoa; Chordata; Mammalia; Rodentia; Muridae.
UCCAAUGUUUAACAGGUAGAUAUGGGAGUC